UUCGCCAUCAUGAAGGUAAGGCCUGCCCAGUGGGAAUCUCAACGGCUGCGGUAUCUUGACCGUACUAAGGUAGCAUAAUCACUUGUCCCCUAAUUAGGGACUAGAAUCAAUGGCUAAACGAGUAGCUUAACUGUCUCAUCUGUAAAAAUAAAAACUUACUUUCAAGUGAAAAGGCUUGAAUAAACCAGGAGGACAAGCAAGACCCUAUGGAGCUUUAGGGGUUAAGUCUGUACAAAUCUAACAUUGAUGAAAAGAUCAAAAGUACUAAUCACUUUGGUUGGGGCAACCGAAGUACACACAAACCACUUCUUCAAGAAAUGCCGAUGGGCAAAAAGAUAUUUCACAAAGAUCCUAAAGUAAAGAUCAUGAGAAUAAAGUUACCCUAGGGAUAACAGCGUAAUUCUUCCUGAGAGCCCUUAUCGAAGGAAGAGGUUGCGACCUCGAUGUUGGACUAGGACAUCCCACAGGUGCAGAAGCUUGUAAUGGUGAGCCUGUUCGGCUCUUAAAGUCCUACGUGAUCUGAGUUCAAACCGGAUCCCGA
RNAcentral lists this ribosomal RNA (541 nucleotides) under Plumatella mukaii. RNAcentral's name for it is "partial 16S ribosomal RNA". It matches the Rfam family "Bacterial large subunit ribosomal RNA", at positions 1837 to 2630 of the family's 2925-position model. Lineage: Eukaryota; Metazoa; Bryozoa; Phylactolaemata; Plumatellidae. The record is from RNAcentral.